AGACCGAUAGCGAACAAGUACCGUGAGGGAAAGAUGAAAAGCACUUUGGAAAGAGAGUUAAACAGUAUGUGAAAUUGUUGAAAGGGAAACGAUUGAAGUCAGUCGUGUCUAUUGGACUCAGCCGGUUCUGCCGGUGUACUUCCUUUAGACGGGGUCAACAUCAGUUUUGAUCGCUGGAAAAGGGCAGGAGGAAUGUAGCACUCUCGGGUGAACUUAUAGCCUCUUGUCGUAUACAGUGGUUGGGACUGAGGAACGCAGCUUGCCUUUAUGGCCGGGAUUUAUCCACGUACAAGCUUAGGAUGUUGACAUAAUGGCUUUAAACGACCCGUCUUGAAACACGGACCAAG
This 347-nucleotide ribosomal RNA is filed under the name Solicoccozyma cf. terricola Ice99-3TxM-Y12. RNAcentral's name for it is "LSU rRNA". It matches the Rfam family "Eukaryotic large subunit ribosomal RNA", at positions 331 to 670 of the family's 3401-position model. The record is from RNAcentral. Lineage: Eukaryota; Fungi; Basidiomycota; Tremellomycetes; Filobasidiales; Piskurozymaceae.